AAACCGUUCAGGGGUAAACCUGAGAAACCCGAAAGUUCGAACGGAGAGAUUCAUCGCGAUUCGUUGCGUGCAGAGCCAGGGCGUGCGGACCCAUCGUUACUCGGUGGGACGUGCCUCUGCUCGAGCGUUCGAUCGCGUGCACUUCUCUCCCAGUAGGACGUCGCGACCCGUUGGACGUCGGUCUACGGACGACGAUGUAGUCCGAGGGGGGCGUCGGUCUUCGGAUCGCCGUUUCUUCUCUCGAACUCGUCGCUCCCGAUCGGCUCGUUCGACGGUAACGAAGAGAGCGUGGGGCCGCGACUCGUUCGCGUCCGGCCCGUCGCAAGCUGGUCCGGUCAAACCGGUGUUCUCGAAGGCCUCGCGUCUUCGGUCCCGGAACCGGACUACUGUUGGCGACGGUGUUCUCGGACAGACUCCAUGCACGCUCGUCGGCGGCGCUUUCGUUUUGGGUACUUUCAGGACCCGUCUUGAAACACGGACCAAGGAGUCUAGCAUGAACGCGAGUCAAUGGGAACUUUUACAGUAAAACCUAAUGGCGAAAUGAAAGUGAAGGUCCACCUUUUAGGUGCGACCUAGGAGAGAUGGGCGAUCGCUUAGAUCGCCUCGCACCUCCCGGGCGUCUCGUUCUCAUGCGAGAUGAGGCGCACCGAGAGCGUUCACGCU
RNAcentral lists this ribosomal RNA (663 nucleotides) under Hister punctifer. RNAcentral's name for it is "eukaryotic LSU rRNA". It matches the Rfam family "Eukaryotic large subunit ribosomal RNA", at positions 402 to 810 of the family's 3401-position model. The record is from RNAcentral. Lineage: Eukaryota; Metazoa; Arthropoda; Insecta; Coleoptera; Histeridae.